CCUGAAGACUUUACUGUGAUGGGGCCGCGAUGCAGUGCAAGGCAUCAAAAAACAAGGUGCCAUGUUCUCAAACAGAGAGGCUGAUAAACCUCCAAAAGAAUCAAGACUUCAUAACUCUAAACGAUCGGAGGUGAGGGACUCUAUGCAUACAGCCUGCAAAAUCAGCACUGCACUGGAUAACAAGGCCCACAGCUCCGAGGCCCCCAGAUGAGCUACCAUCCCCAUCCGGCUCAUCAGUCACCCUGGGCAGUCUCUCCCCAAACGGGACCCCCUGACGCCCAAGUAAUGGCUGUUUGAUGACCCUCAU
This is a long non-coding RNA of Siniperca chuatsi (mandarin fish), 307 nucleotides long. RefSeq lists it as uncharacterized. The transcript has 3 exons. Lineage: Eukaryota; Metazoa; Chordata; Actinopteri; Centrarchiformes; Sinipercidae. The record is from RefSeq and is a predicted model, not a curated record.